GACGUAGGGGGCCAGCGUUGCUCGGAAUUACUGGGCGUAAAGGGUUCGUAGGCGGUGCGGCAAGUUGGGAGUGAAAUCUCUGGGCUUAACCCAGAGGCUGCUUCCAAAACUGCUGUGCUUGAGUGUGAGAGAGGCUCGUGGAAUUGCAGGUGUAGCGGUGAAAUGCGUAGAUAUCUGCAGGAACACCCGUGGCGAAAGCGGCGAGCUGGAUCACAACUGACGCUGAGGAACGAAAGCUAGGGGAGCAAACAGG
Molecule: ribosomal RNA, 253 nt
Filed under: uncultured bacterium
Lineage: Bacteria
Description: partial 16S ribosomal RNA
Rfam family: Bacterial small subunit ribosomal RNA
Source: RNAcentral